UCCAGUUCUCUCAUCUCAGUUCCUAUUUGCGAUUUUCUUCUUGCUUCGCUAUUUCAAGAAUUCAAGGUGUCAUCUUUUUUGGGUGAGUUUUUCAAUUAUUUUGGGCUUCUUUGGAUCCCUAUGUCGGAGUUUUCUCCACUUUCUAUGUUUGGAAUUCUUUCAUGAAUUCUGUUCUUUUUUGCUUUUACGUUCUGCUUGUACAAUCUUCUAGCCUAGUAACUUUUCUCUCUUGUUCUUCUCUUGCACCAUGUUCUAGCUUCACUUUUGAAUUUUUCUGAAAGUUUGUCCAUAUUUGGUUCAAUGUUAUUUUUUCUAUUCUUUUUCAUAAUUUAUUGCUAGAUUUUCUACAUGCAUGUAUAGAAUUCUAUCUGAUUUUGAUAUGUUUGGCAAGAAAUAUUUGUGAAUUUUUUGUUCUUUUGGAGUGGGUAGAACUAAAUUUGCGUUUUAUGGAAUUCUUUUAUUAAAAUGUCUGAAAUGUGAUAGUCACUCAAUGUGUUUGCAUUAAUUCAUGAGAGAGAUGCACUUUGUAUGGUAAACUUUCCAGUUGCCACCCAUUUCCAUUUCUGUGUUUAUUUUCUUAAAUAAGAAUGCACCUCUGUAUACAUGUUUUUUCACUAUGUUUGAGAGUGUUUCUAUUUUGUUAAUAUUGUUCCGUGAAUUUUUUUUUAUUUUUUUCUCUUACGCCUUGUUAAAAACCUGAAGUAAUGAUCGGUUUGGUCAUUUUUUGGUAUAACGUUUUGAGUCAAUUACUCAAAUGAUCACUCAACUAUCCCAAAUUAUCUCCUAAAGUUAUUUUUCUUUCGUUUGUAACAACAAAGUCACUGAACUAUGCCUAUUGCACUCAGAAGGUCACUCAACUAGAUUUUUUAAAUUUUGGAUUGUCAAGUACCUAUUUUACCUUCUAAAUUAUAAACAUUUAUCUUCUUUUUAUUUUUUUAAAACUUUUUAGUAUUAACAACAAAAAUUCAAAAAUUUAUUUACACAAUCCAGAAUGAAAGAAAAUAAAGGUUGUAAAAUAUAUAUUCUAUGCACAUAAUAUAAAAAUACAACAACAACAACCCAGUAUAAUCUCACUAGUGGGGUCUAGGGAGGGUAAUAUGUACGCAGACCUUACCCCUACCCUCGGAUAGAGAGGAUAUUUCCGAUAGACCCUCGGUUCUCUCCCUCCAAAUAAUUAUUUUUAUAUUAUUAUUUUUAUAUUUUUAAAUAAUAUAAAAAUAAUUAUUUAAAUAAAGGUAUUUAUAUAAUAUACAUUAUAUAUUCUUGAAAAUUAUGCUCAAUUAUACUAUUAUGUUUCUACUAGCUUUCCGACGGCACAAAGUUAUGUCACCGGAAAACAGGGGGACUAUUAGCUUCUUAUCUUUUGCUUUGUUUGGUGAUACAGGUGUAAAGUAUAUAUUUUCUUCUUCUUUUUUUAAGAUUUUUUUAAUCAACGAACCUGUUUUUAUUCAAUAUCAAAAAGGAGUACAAAAUGCAGAAGAGUUGGCAUCCCAAACUCUCUGUCCCUACCGAGGUGGAACAUGCUCCAUCCAAUACAUAUGUAGGUCAUCAGAUUUGUUCACAAAAAGAGAGAUAGGGAGUGAGACAUCCUCCCUAUGCUACAAAAAAGAAAAUCAAAGUACAUCAAAAUUAUAUAGUCUAAGCAGUUAUCGAUCCAUGUUAACCUUCCCUAUGGCCUCUCUUGGGAGAUGUUGAAAGAUUGUGUACAGGUGAUGGGGCUACAAUAUAAACCACAACUAGAUAAAUUGUCUGCCACUUUGUUACCUUCCCUGUUGUAGUGAUUCACCUUUGUCUCAUCAAAUAUCUCUAUUUUGCUUCUUAUGUUUUUCACUUCAUUUUGUAAUCUCCAGGGUAUAUGAUGGUAGGCUAUAAUUACGUAUUUCAGUCGCUUAUUGUACUCUAAUUGGCUGCACUUUCUUUGUGUUGAGCUUUAACUAGUAGUGUUUUGCACUUAUUGUGUGUUUUAUGCUUUGUAGGAGUAAUUUUGAGAUAUGUAGAUGUUGUGGAGAUAAUUCAAGCUAUUUGGAGCUUUGAACUCUGAGUAAAAGCCAAAGGAAUUAAGCCGGGAUCGUGUUCGGGGGUAGAGGAGCAAGUCUGGACGUCAAAACGCAAGAUUUGAGCCGUACUUUGAGAAAUUUGCACUAGUGCAACGCAGGGUGCGAGGCAUAGUGCGACACAGCAGUGUAUUUUUGUUGCCUGUUGAAUUGUUGAACUUCUUGAAGUUCCCCACUAGCACCCUGUGUGGCGCGUCACCCCAUGCACGCCUGUGUAAUUUUUCCACAGCGAUUGUCCUAUUUCGGCUGGGAAAGGGGUGAUUUCGUCUAGGCCCGGCCCUACUUGGUAUAAAUACAUGGGAAAACGUUAUUUUAUAGACUUUUAACAUACUUUUAGACCUAAGGACGCUAAGGAGGAGUUGGAAGAACAUAA
This 2427-nucleotide long non-coding RNA is filed under the name Nicotiana tabacum (common tobacco). RNAcentral describes it as "long non-coding RNA (NTAB_LNC008072)". The record is from RNAcentral. Lineage: Eukaryota; Viridiplantae; Streptophyta; Magnoliopsida; Solanales; Solanaceae.